GGGGUCGUUUGGUAUUGACAGCAGGUAAAAUUAGUAUGCAAGCAUGCCGAGCUUUGAAUCCAGCUCGUAAAUCCAGGUUUCAAACAACAAUUGGCGAAAAUAAUUUUGCUCUCGCUGCCUAAUCCAUUAAAUGGAUGACAGCUUUAUCCCCCGCCCUAGGUGGUGGGGGGCGAGAUAUCCCGCAGUAAUUUGCUCCAGGUCGGCUACUGUAUAUGGGGUACCAUCCAGGCCAGGAUAGUCUGAAGCUCUUUCCCGGGGCCAAGGCGAACUCUCAAGGGAAUAAGGAAAGGAUCGGCUGCCUUUUGCCAGCCCUCUCCCGACAACCAAUAAAAGGAUAAGCAUGUAGAAACCAUAUUGGUUUCUUGUUUGGACCCGGGUUCGACUCCCGGCGACUCCACUA
This 400-nucleotide transfer-messenger RNA is filed under the name Bacteroides sp. It matches the Rfam family "transfer-messenger RNA". From Rfam's summary of the family: Bacterial tmRNA, also known as 10Sa RNA or SsrA, is named for its dual tRNA and mRNA-like properties. Its role is to liberate the mRNA from a stalled ribosome. RNAcentral also lists the same sequence under 1 other name. Lineage: Bacteria; Pseudomonadati; Bacteroidota; Bacteroidia; Bacteroidales; Bacteroidaceae. The record is from RNAcentral.